AGCAGCCGCGGUAAUUCCAGCUCCAAUAGCGUAUAUUAAAGUUGUUGCAGUUAAAAAGCUCGUAGUUGAAUUUCGGGAUCAAUAUGUUGGUCGUGCCUUGGUACGUACUGGCAUUAUUGGUUUCUACCUUCUGAAGAACCUCGAUGUCAUUAAUUUGGUGUCUUGGGGAAUCAGGACUGUUACUUUGAAAAAUUAGAGUGUUUAAAGCAGGCUCGCGCUUGAAUACAUUAGCAUGGAAUAAUGAAAUAGGACGUUUGAUUCUAUUUUGUUGGUUUCUAGGAUCGACGUAAUGAUUAAUAGGGAUAGUUGGGGGCAUUAGUAUUCAAUUGUCAGAGGUGAAAUUCUUGGAUUUAUUGAAGACUAACUACUGCGAAAGCAUUUGCCAAGGAUGUUUUCAUUAAUCAAGAACGAAAGUUAGGGGAUCGAAGACGAUCAGAUACCGUCGUAGUCUUAACCAUAAACUAUGCCGACUAGGGAUCGGAUGAUGUUAAUUUUUUAAUGACUCAUUCGGCGCCUUACG
RNAcentral lists this ribosomal RNA (520 nucleotides) under uncultured Glomus. Its description in RNAcentral is "SSU rRNA". It matches the Rfam family "Eukaryotic small subunit ribosomal RNA", at positions 569 to 1092 of the family's 1831-position model. Lineage: Eukaryota; Fungi; Glomeromycota; Glomeromycetes; Glomerales; Glomeraceae. The record is from RNAcentral.